AGAGUUUGAUCCUGGCUCAGGAUGAACGCUAGCUACAGGCUUAACACAUGCAAGUCGAGGGGAAACGACAUCGAAAGCUUGCUUUUGAUGGGCGUCGACCGGCGCACGGGUGAGUAACGCGUAUCCAACCUGCCCACCACUUGGGGAUAACCUUGCGAAAGUAAGACUAAUACCCAAUGACGUCUCUAGAAGACAUCUGAAAGAGAUUAAAGAUUUAUCGGUGAUGGAUGGGGAUGCGUCUGAUUAGCUUGUUGGCGGGGUAACGGCCGCCAAGGCUACGAUCAGUAGGGGUUCUGAGGGGAAGUCCCCCANAUUGGAACUGAGACACGGUCCAAACUCCUACGGGAGCA
Molecule: ribosomal RNA, 350 nt
Filed under: uncultured bacterium
Lineage: Bacteria
Description: bacterial SSU rRNA
Rfam family: Bacterial small subunit ribosomal RNA
Source: RNAcentral